UGGCCCUCUCUAUUCCUACGCUCUGGUUUUGAAUGAUUCAUUAUCACUUGCACUCACUCAUUUUCCUCAGGAAGAUCUGUUCUUUCUCUCUCUCUCUCUUAAUACUUUUUCAAAUUACUUUGUUGCUUAACAUAUAUACUGCUUAAUAUUUAUGUAAAGCUUUUCCUUCUGAGCCCUGUGAUUUAGAUUCAUCGUUUUUCAGAACAUCUGGUAAUUGUUCAUGAAAAUUGUUGAUAUAUAUUUUGUUUUAAAUUGAAUUGAACCUUCCUUAGAGUUUCACUGCAUCUGUUGUAGCUUGUUCGUAACAAGAUUUUGUGACCACUUCUCAUGGAGCCUCUCUCCCAAAAAUGUGAAAUUGGAUACCUAAUUAGGAAACCAGUCCAAUGAUAACUUGAAUUAAAUUUACAGUACUACUGUUUAAUUUUCUGGCCCAUUUGUUGUGAAUUUCAUACUGUCGUAAUGUUU
RNAcentral lists this long non-coding RNA (465 nucleotides) under Citrus sinensis (sweet orange). Its description in RNAcentral is "long non-coding RNA (CSIN_LNC004606)". The record is from RNAcentral. Lineage: Eukaryota; Viridiplantae; Streptophyta; Magnoliopsida; Sapindales; Rutaceae.